GACGAACGCUGGCGGCGUGCUUAACACAUGCAAGUCGAACGGAAAGGCCCUGCUUUUGUGGGGUGCUCGAGUGGCGAACGGGUGAGUAACACGUGAGUAACCUGCCCUUGACUUUGGGAUAACUUCAGGAAACUGGGGCUAAUACCGGAUAGGAGCUCCUGCUGCAUGGUGGGGGUUGGAAAGUUUCGGCGGUUGGGGAUGGACUCGCGGCUUAUCAGCUUGUUGGUGGGGUAGUGGCUUACCAAGGCUUUGACGGGUAGCCGGCCUGAGAGGGUGACCGGGCACAUUGGGACUGAGGUAGGGGCCAGACUCCUACGGGAGGCAGCAGUGGGGAAUAUUGCACAAUGGGCGGAAGCCUGAUGCAGCAACGCCGCGUGCGGGAUGACGGCCUUCGGGUUGUAAACCGCUUUCGCCUGUGACGAAGCGUGAGUGACGGUAAUGGGUAAAGAAGCACCGGCUAACUACGUG
RNAcentral lists this ribosomal RNA (468 nucleotides) under uncultured bacterium. RNAcentral's name for it is "partial 16S ribosomal RNA". It matches the Rfam family "Bacterial small subunit ribosomal RNA", at positions 28 to 507 of the family's 1533-position model. The record is from RNAcentral.